Molecule: ribosomal RNA, 455 nt
Filed under: uncultured bacterium
Lineage: Bacteria
Description: bacterial SSU rRNA
Rfam family: Bacterial small subunit ribosomal RNA
Source: RNAcentral
GACGAACGCUGGCGGCGCGCCUAACACAUGCAAGUCGAACGAGAGAUGAGGAGCUUGCUCUUCAAAUCGAGUGGCGAACGGGUGAGUAACGCGUGAGGAACCUGCCUCAAAGAGGGGGACAACAGUUGGAAACGACUGCUAAUACCGCAUAAGCCCACGGCUCGGCAUCGAGCAGAGGGAAAAGGAGCAAUCCGCUUUGAGAUGGCCUCGCGUCCGAUUAGCUGGUUGGUGAGGUAACGGCCCACCAAGGCGACGAUCGGUAGCCGGACUGAGAGGUUGAACGGCCACAUUGGGACUGAGACACGGCCCAGACUCCUACGGGAGGCAGCAGUGGGGAAUAUUGCACAAUGGGGGAAACCCUGAUGCAGCGACGCCGCGUGGAGGAAGAAGGUCUUCGGAUUGUAAACUCCUGUUGUUGAGGAAGAUAAUGACGGUACUCAACAAGGAAGUGACGG